CAAAUUUGAAAUCUGGGUCUUUCAGGCUCCGAGUUGUAAUUUGUAGAAGAUGCUUCGGGUGCGGCUCCGGUCUAAGUUCCUUGGAACAGGACGUCAUAGAGGGUGAGAAUCCCGUAUGUGAUCGGUUGCUUGCGCCCAUGUGAAGCUCUUUCGACGAGUCGAGUUGUUUGGGAAUGCAGCUCCAAAUGGGUGGUAUAUUUCAUCUAAAGCUAAAUAUUGGCCAGAGACCGAUAGCGCACAAGUAGAGUGAUCGAAAGAUGAAAAGCACUUUGGAAAGAGAGUUAAACAGUACGUGAAAUUGUUGAAAGGGAAGCGCUUGCAACCAGACUUGCGUGUUGUCGAUCAUCCGGGGUUCUCCCCGGUGCACUCGGCUUCACUCAGGCCAGCAUCGGUUUCGGUGGUUGGAUAAAGGCCUUGGGAAUGUAGCUCCUCUCGGGGAGUGUUAUAGCCCUCGGUGCAAUGCAGCCUACUGGGACCGAGGACCGCGCUUCGGCUAGGAUGCUGGCGUAAUGGUUGUAAGCGACCCGUCUUGAAACACGGACCAAGGAGUCUAACAUCUAUGCGAGUGUUUGGGUGUCAAACCCAUACGCGUAAUGAAAGUGAACGGAGGUGAGAACCCUUAAGGGUGCAUCAUCGACCGAUCCUGAUGUCUUCGGAUGGAUUUGAGUAAGAGCAUAGCUGUUGGGACCCGAAAGAUGGUGAACUAUGCCUGAAUAGGGUGAAGCCAGAGGAAACUCUGGUGGAGGCUCGCAGCGGUUCUGACGUGCAAAUCGAUCG
RNAcentral lists this ribosomal RNA (777 nucleotides) under Neofabraea actinidiae. Its description in RNAcentral is "eukaryotic LSU rRNA". It matches the Rfam family "Eukaryotic large subunit ribosomal RNA", at positions 110 to 904 of the family's 3401-position model. The record is from RNAcentral. Lineage: Eukaryota; Fungi; Ascomycota; Leotiomycetes; Helotiales; Dermateaceae.